GGAAGGAUCAUUAAAAUAUAGAAUUUAUUUUCUGUAAACCCAAUCUGUGUAUUUGUACCUGUUGCUUUCGUGAGCCGGUGAACGCAAGUUCGCCCUCUGGUGUCAUUCCACGGAAUGACGUUACCAUAGAGUGCUCACGGAAGGUCUUCAUAAACUCUGUUUUUUUUGAACUCAGUCUGAAUAUUGUUUAUAAUUAAACUUUAAAACUUUCAACAACGGAUCUCUUGGUUCUCGCAUCGAUGAAGAACGCAGCGAAAUGCGAUAAGUAGUGUGAAUUGCAGAAUUCAGUGAAUCAUCGAAUCUUUGAACGCACAUUGCGCCUCCUGGUAUUCCGGGAGGCAUGCCUGUUCGAGCGUCAUUAAAAUCACUCAAGCUUAGGUUUACCUAUUGCUUGGUCUUGGAGAUGGAAGCCAAUUCAUUGGAAUCCUCUUCGAAAUUCAAUGGCGAAGACCCUUGCUCUCCCAAGUGUAGUAAUAACUUAUGUCACUGAAGGAAGCGAGAAAUCUUCUGCCGUAACCCCCAUAUUUUCUAUGAUUGACCUCGGAUCAGGUAGGGAUACCCGCUGAACUUAAGCAUAUCAAUAAGCGGAGGAAAAGAAACCAACAGGGAUUGCCUUAGUAACUGCGAGUGAAGCGGCAAAAGCUCAAAUUUGAAAUCUGGCGUCUUCGACGUCCGAGUUGUAAUUUGGAGAGACAUCUUCGGAGUAGACGCCGUCCUAAGUUCCUUGGAACAGGACGUCACAGAGGGUGAGAAUCCCGUGCCUGGAUGGCUGUUCUACUUCAUGUGAAGUGUCUUCGACGAGUCGAGUUGUUUGGGAAUGCAGCUCAAAAUGGGAGGUAAAUUUCUUCUAAAGCUAAAUAUUGGCGAGAGACCGAUAGCGCACAAGUAGAGUGAUCGAAAGAUGAAAAGCACUUUGAAAAGAGAGUUAAAAAGUACGUGAAAUUGUUGAAAGGGAAGCGCUUGAGACCAGACUCGAUCUUUGGUGAUCAUCGGUGCUUCUGUACCGUGCACUCACCAUUGAUUGGGCCAGCAUCGGUUUAGACGGCGGGAUAAAGACCUAAGGAAUGUGGCUCCUCUCGGGGAGUGUUAUAGCCUUGGGUGCAAUGCCGCCAGUCUGGACCGAGGACCGCGCUUCGGCUAGGAUGCUGGCGUAAUGGUCUUCAGCGACCCGUCUUGAAACACGGACCAAGGAGUCUAACAUCUAUGCGAGUGUUCGGGUGGAAAACCCUUGCGCGUAAUGAAAGUGAACGGAGGUGAGAACACUUCGGUGUGCAUCAUCGACCGAUCCUGAUGUCUUCGGAUGGAUUUGAGUAUGAGCAUAGCUGUUGGGACCCGAAAGAUGGUGAACUAUGCCUGAAUAGGGUGAAGCCAGAGGAAACUCUGGUGGAGGCUCGCAGCGGUUCUGACGUGCAAAUCGAUCGUCAAAUUUGGGUAUAGGGGCGAAAGACUAAUCGAACCAUCUAGUAGCUGGUUCCUGC
Molecule: unclassified non-coding RNA, 1478 nt
Filed under: uncultured fungus
Lineage: Eukaryota; Fungi
Description: sequence contains 18S rRNA gene, ITS1, 5.8S rRNA gene, ITS2, 28S rRNA gene
Rfam family: Eukaryotic large subunit ribosomal RNA (bases 536-1478)
Source: RNAcentral